CACAACACCAGUACUAUCAAUGCUACUAAGUGGACUCACAUUUCCGCUUGGAGGCAGUGAUGCAUCCCAAAUACAUUCUUUCUCUUCGGAAUCAGGAGGCAGACUGGUUUCUGUGUUUUGAGAAGGACGAGGAACUGUAAAUGGAGAGGAGAUUACACCUAGAUCAUUUGGCUCUUCAACCAAGCUCUCUGCCGGUGAAAGAAGGGAUGGGCUUGGUUUCACAUUUGGCAUCCGGAUUGAAAGAUCGUCCAAGAAAGGACCCUUCAAAGAUACGUUUUUCACCAGACAUUUCCCAUCUGCUUUGUUUUGACCAAUUGGUACAUACACUGGUCUCAUUAGGUCUGUAUCAACAGGUUCCGG
Molecule: unclassified non-coding RNA, 360 nt
Filed under: Hevea brasiliensis (rubber tree)
Lineage: Eukaryota; Viridiplantae; Streptophyta; Magnoliopsida; Malpighiales; Euphorbiaceae
Source: RNAcentral